GUUGGUGAGGUAAUGGCUCACCAAGGCGACGAUCCCUAGCUGGUCUGAGAGGAUGACCAGCCACACUGGAACUGAGACACGGUCCAGACUCCUACGGGAGGCAGCAGUGGGGAAUAUUGCACAAUGGGCGCAAGCCUGAUGCAGCCAUGCCGCGUGUAUGAAGAAGGCCUUCGGGUUGUAAAGUACUUUCAGCGGGGAGGAAGGUGUUGCGGUUAAUAACCGCAGCAAUUGACGUUACCCGCAGAAGAAGCACCGGCUAACUCCGUGCCAGCAGCCGCGGUAAUACGGAGGGUGCAAGCGUUAAUCGGAAUUACUGGGCGUAAAGCGCACGCAGGCGGUCUGUCAAGUCGGAUGUGAAAUCCCCGGGCUCAACCUGGGAACUGCAUUCGAAACUGGCAGGCUUGAGUCUUGUAGAGGGGGGUAGAAUUCCAGGUGUAGCGGUGAAAUGCGUAGAGAUCUGGAGGAAUACCGGUGGCGAAGGCGGCCCCCUGGACAAAGACUGACGCUCAGGUGCGAAAGCGUGGGGAGCAAACAGGAUUAGAUACCCUGGUAGUCCACGCCGUAAACGAUGUCUACUUGGAGGUUGUGCCCUUGAGGCGUGGCUUCCGGAGCUAACGCGUUAAGUAGACCGCCUGGGGAGUACGGCCGCAAGGUUAAAACUCAAAUGAAUUGACGGGGGCCCGCACAAGCGGUGGAGCAUGUGGUUUAAUUCGAUGCAACGCGAAGAACCUUACCUGGUCUUGACAUCCACAGAACUUUCCAGAGAUGGAUUGGUGCCUUCGGGAACUGUGAGACAGGUGCUGCAUGGCUGUCGUCAGCUCGUGUUGUGAAAUGUUGGGUUAAGUCCCGCAACGAGCGCAACCCUUAUCCUUUGUUGCCAGCGGUUAGGCCGGGAACUCAAAGGAGACUGCCAGUGAUAAACUGGAGGAAGGUGGGGAUGACGUCAAGUCAUCAUGGCCCUUACGACCAGGGCUACACACGUGCUACAAUGGCGCAUACAAAGAGAAGCGACCUCGCGAGAGCAAGCGGACCUCAUAAAGUGCGUCGUAGUCCGGAUUGGAGUCUGCAACUCGACUCCAUGAAGUCGGAAUCGCUAGUAAUCGUGGAUCAGAAUGCCACGGUGAAUACGUUCCCGGGCCUUGUACACACCGCCCGUCACACCAUGGGAGUGGGUUGCAAAAGAAGUAGGUAGCUUAACCUUCGGGAGGGCGCUUACCACUUUGUGAUUCAUGACUGGGGUGAAGUCGUAACAAGGUAACCGUAGGGGAACCUGCGGUUGGAUCACCUCCUUACCUUAAAGAA
This 1302-nucleotide ribosomal RNA is filed under the name Salmonella enterica subsp. enterica serovar Newport. RNAcentral's name for it is "bacterial SSU rRNA". It matches the Rfam family "Bacterial small subunit ribosomal RNA", at positions 248 to 1533 of the family's 1533-position model. The record is from RNAcentral. Lineage: Bacteria; Pseudomonadati; Pseudomonadota; Gammaproteobacteria; Enterobacterales; Enterobacteriaceae.